UGUGCCCCACGCGCCAGUGGCCGAGGCACCUCAUCCCACGUGGCAAGUGGAGACGGCUUUCCUAGAGUACGUCUCCUCUUUUCUGAAAGCGUACUUUCAUUCUACUUCAACCAAGAAUAGGUUUGCUCAGUCUGAAAACGUAUUUCUCCUUAUGCGCUUUCUGUUUUUCCUCCCAGGGACCCGUUGGUGAUAAUUUUUUCACAGAUUGGUCCCUGAUCUUCAACUCCUCAUAACUCCGCAACCGUAACUCCGAUUGAGGUGAAACCAACGCUCACUUCUUCGUCUCGUCGGGCUCUAUCUUUUGGUAACAUUUUCAUCAGGUGGUUUCAUAGUGAAAAUGACCAUUUUGCCCUUGCCUCUAAUCAGCCCCCUCCAAGAAAGAACCGUCCGACGUUUUGUUCCGCGGCUUCACCGCACUUCUUCCUGGAGUGUCUGUCACCCUAGGCAAGCCACAAUACCCACUUGCAUGAUAGUCAUGCAAUAGCCAUGGUUUUCAACUUGAAUAUUUAUUAAAUGUUUGCUUGUUUAAAAUAUGGUUAUUGUUGUUUCGGUAAUGAUUCUUGGCUAGUGCUUACUUUCUUGCUAUGUUGUUAUGCACCUGGUUGUCAUGCCCUGCUAGUUGCUAGUAUUCCUUUCAUAUGCUUAUGCAUGAUAGUAGUACAUGUUGAUGUUGGUAAUGGUCUUCGGUGCAUGACUGCCGUUUGUCCCGAGUGUCAUUGUUAUGCAUGUUCCAUUGCAUCCAGUUGGUUAAAUGCUUGCAUGAUAGCAUUGUUGAUAUGUUCUUGUAUGAUAUUUAUUGUUGAUGCUAGUGGUCAUGCUAUGUUUUGGAGAAGUAUGUACUUAUGAUGUUCAUGCUAGUCAGUAUGCCAUGCUUACUUGGAUAUGAUACAUUGUUGAUAUGGUGGAUAGUUAUGUUGUACCCUCAUGACUAUGUUGAUAUCAUGCUCAUGCAUUGUAAUUGCAUCAUGUAUUUUAUCGUGGCUCAAGAUAUUUGCAUUCAAGUUUAACCGGAUUAAACUGAACUUGAACACCUGUUGGCUGAGUCAUGGUGCCACCAUAUCAAACUGACCAGUGCAACCACGCUUACCUUUAUGGGAAGGUCCUAACUGGGUCUAUUGUCAUCCCUCUCGCCGGUGCCUCCAACUAGGGAAGGUUAUGGGCAUGCGGUACCCUAGCCCGGUAAGCAGACAUAACCUUGUGUGCCCGUUGUUGUUAUUAUGGAUUCGGUCCCCGUGAGGGACGUUUUGGCCACGACGGUGGUCGUUGUGUCUUUGGUAGACACGGGGCCACCCAGGACUAGCCCAGUUGGGAGUGGGUCGGAGUGGCCGGGAGAGUGUCAUGGCAAUAGAUCGGUUUUGUCGGAACGCCAUUGGUCCACCCGAAUGGGAGUGCGAGGCCAUGGGUUCCGUAGUGUGGGUACAAUGUACUAACCUCUGCAGAGUGUAUAUUAAAUCUAUCGAUAGCCGCGCCCGCGGAUAAGGGCCCAGUUCGUAGUUGGUCACACCAUGUGUCAACAAUAAUAAUAAUAAUAAUAGUAAUAAUAAUGUGCUUAAUAACAACCAUGGUGCGAUGAGGAGAUAAGUUGGUUGUGAUCGCCGGAAGGAUCACUGUUUGAGACCAAGUGUUGGUCAGGGUUGUGAUCGCCGGAAUGAUCACCGUGGUAUCGAGGAUACCGAGUUGUUGGAUAUUCAUGAUGUUGUGCGAGAAUUAUGGGUAAAGAUCAAGCUCCUUGUGGUCAUUUGAUGAUUACUACGGUAUUGUUUAUACCAAGCUUGAUUUGAUCCUGAGAUGAUUGUGUAAUGUCCAAAGUUGGUAAGUAAUGCAGGUGAUGGUUACGAGGUAACCCGAGCAGAAUAAAUGGUGCAUAUAGUGUCAUCAUGUUACAUCCUAGUAUCAUCAGAUUUAUAUGUUCAUGCCAUGAUCAUAUUGUUCUAGCAAUAUUGUGUUCAUGUUGUUCAUGCCAUGUUAUCCUGAUGAUCUCAUGAUAAUUCCUGCUUAACCUAUAAUUGCCAGGUUGUUGUUUGUCUUGAAUGCUUCUAGUUAUUGUGAGCUUGCAAGUACAUUCAAUGUACUGACCUGGCGUGUCAUGCCAGUUUGCAGGUCGUGUCUAGAUUGCUUGCUUGUUUGGUGUUGUUCCCGUGUUCGCGAGCUAGGAUAAACGUUCCAGCCAGAGUCCCCGUGGAUUGGAGUCCAUCAUCGAUGUUCGUUGUUCCACUGCCAGUAGUUGUUCCGCUGCUUCAAGUUGUUAUGCUGCUUGUAUAGAGCAACCGUGGUUGGCGUAGUGUCGUCGUACCGAUGUUAUUCAUUGUAAUAUCAGAACCCUUGUAUUCAUAUUUGUGUUGUAAUAGAGAGCUAGUUUGUUCUAUACUAAGCAGUGUCGUAUGCUAGAAGACUUCACCUCGAUCUCUGGGCUGGAAUACAGGGCGUUCCGGUUUUCUCUGAGACGGGGUGCCACAGAUAAACAUCACAUGCAAUCAAUAUAAGUGAUAUGAUAUGGCCAUCAUCAUCUUG
RNAcentral lists this long non-coding RNA (2511 nucleotides) under Triticum aestivum (bread wheat). RNAcentral's name for it is "long non-coding RNA (TAES_LNC010741)". Lineage: Eukaryota; Viridiplantae; Streptophyta; Magnoliopsida; Poales; Poaceae. The record is from RNAcentral.